GGAGCGCCCGAGCGGGCGACCGGACGAGGCACGCCGUACCCGGCCAGCGACAAGACGGUGUCGU
RNAcentral lists this non-coding RNA (64 nucleotides) under Cellulomonas sp. Lineage: Bacteria; Bacillati; Actinomycetota; Actinomycetes; Micrococcales; Cellulomonadaceae. The record is from RNAcentral.